AAUCCAACAAGUAUAAGGGCACGUAAGAUAGUAAGUGAAAUUUAGAUACU
RNAcentral lists this non-coding RNA (50 nucleotides) under Trypanosoma brucei brucei. The record is from RNAcentral. Lineage: Eukaryota; Euglenozoa; Kinetoplastea; Trypanosomatida; Trypanosomatidae.